UCUUACUUCAAUUCCUAGAAACUGAUGUAGCUCCCCCAUGUCCUUUAGUGCAAACUGUGCAUUUAAGUUGUUGAUGAAGCUUUGCAACAACUUGUUAUUAUUACCGGUAAUCACUAUAUCAUCAACAUAUACUAAAGCAAAAAUCACUUGCCUCUGAUUCAUGUAAAAGAACAAGGAGUUGUCUACCUUUGAUUUCGUGAACUUCCACUCUAGAAGUGUUUUCUUCAAUCUUUCAUACCAUGCCCUAGGUGCCUGCUUGAGUCCAUAAAGUGCCUUUUCAAGUUUACACACAUGGUUAGGAUUGUUUUUAUCAACAAAACCUUCUGGCUGACUCAUAUAGACCUCUUCAUUUAGCUUUCCAUUCAAGAAAGCAUUGUUGAUGACUACCUGCCUAACACUCCAAUUCUUUGAGAUUGCAAGUGUAAGGAUUAUUCUCAGAGUUGAGGCUUUAAUUACUGGACUGAAAGUUUCAUGAUAAUCAACUCUUGAAGUUUGUAGAAAUUCUUUUGCAACAAGUCUUGCCUUGUACUUCAGCACCUUUCCUUCAACAUUUCGUUUGAUUCUAAACACCCACUUAUUUCCUAUUACCUUCUGGUUGAUGAACAGGUGGUACAAGUUUCCAGGUUUUAUUAUUCUACAAGGCUCUAUAUUCAUCCUCCAUUGCAUUUUUCCAGUCUUUAUUUUCCAAGGCCUCAAACACAUCAUUUGGUUCAAGUCCGGUGUGCUCCAUCUUACAUUGAGUUGAGUAGGCUUUUGGUUUGAAAAUGCCAGCUUUACUUCUGGUAAUCAUGGGGUGUUCUACAUUCUAUUUGCUCUGUUCUACUAAGCUUUGAUUCUUCUCAUUCAUUUCAGUCCCCUCAAUCUCAAUAUUUGCAACUUCUUCUUGAUUUUGGAUUUGAGUGUGACCAUUACUCAUCUCUGAAUUUUCAUUUUCAUUUACCUCUGGUGCCUCAGUUUCUGCCAUUUCUAACCGAUCAAAUCUGUGAGAUGUUGUUGUUGGGGUUGCUUCAGAGUGAAUUAUAUCAAUUGAACAUAUUGGAUCGUAGUAUAGGGAAGUAUGAACUGGUAGAUAUUGAAUAAUGGUUUCAGUUUUUUGUGGGUUACUCUUUGUGUUAAGAAAACCAAACUGAAAUGGAAACUCUUUUUCAUUGAAGACUACAUGUCUGGAAAUGUAAACUCUACCAGUUGGACUGAGACAUUUGUAUCCUUUAUGUGAAUUGCUGAAACCAGAAAUACACAUUUAGUGGAAUGGAAAGUAAGCUUAUGUUUUUGAUAGGGUCUGAGACAGGGAAAACAGGCACAUCCAAAAACCUUUAGAGAUUUGUAGUCAAAUUGCUCAUAGUUUAGAGUUUCACAGGGUGAUUUCAUCUUGAGGAUAGGUAUAGGCAGUCUAUUUAUAAGAUAUGUGGCUGUGUGAAAAGACUCCCACCAAUAAUGCAAGGGCAUACUUGCUUGAGCAAGAAGAGUCAAUCCGGUUUCAGUUAUGUGCCUAUUUUUCCUUUCUGCUCUACCAUUUUGGG
Molecule: long non-coding RNA, 1520 nt
Filed under: Olea europaea subsp. europaea
Lineage: Eukaryota; Viridiplantae; Streptophyta; Magnoliopsida; Lamiales; Oleaceae
Source: RNAcentral